RNAcentral lists this ribosomal RNA (253 nucleotides) under uncultured bacterium. RNAcentral's name for it is "partial 16S ribosomal RNA". It matches the Rfam family "Bacterial small subunit ribosomal RNA", at positions 524 to 776 of the family's 1533-position model. The record is from RNAcentral.
UACGUAGGGUGCAAGCGUUGUCCGGAAUUAUUGGGCGUAAAGAGCUCGUAGGCGGUCUGUUGCGUCGGCUGUGAAAACCCGGGGCUCAACUCCGGGCCUGCAGCCGAUACGGGCAGACUAGAGUUCGGCAGGGGAGACUGGAAUUCCUGGUGUAGCGGUGAAAUGCGCAGAUAUCAGGAGGAACACCGGUGGCGAAGGCAGGUCUCUGGGCCACUACUGACGCUGAGAAGCGAAAGCGUGGGGAGCGAACAGG